This 402-nucleotide ribosomal RNA is filed under the name Sphaeroforma tapetis. RNAcentral describes it as "partial small subunit ribosomal RNA". It matches the Rfam family "Eukaryotic small subunit ribosomal RNA", at positions 30 to 432 of the family's 1831-position model. Lineage: Eukaryota; Ichthyosporea; Ichthyophonida. The record is from RNAcentral.
GCUUGUCUCAAAGAUUAAGCCAUGCAUGUCUAAGUAUAAACAAUUCUAUACUGUGAAACUGCGAAUGGCUCAUUAAAUCAGUUAUAGUUUAUUUGAUAAUAUCUACUACUUGGAUAACCGUGGUAAUUCUAGAGCUAAUACAUGCGUAAAAACCCGACUUCGGAAGGGUUGUAUUUAUUAGAUACAAAACCAACGCAGGGCUUGCCCUGGUUUUUGGUGAUUCAUAAUAACUUUUCGGAUCGCAUGGCGCAAGCCGGCGACGUUUCAUUCAAAUUUCUGCCCUAUCAACUGUCGACUGUGAUAUAGACGCUCACAGUGGUUUUGACGGGUAACGGGGAAUCAGGGUUCGAUUCCGGAGAGGGAGCCUUAAAAACGGCUACCACAUCCAAGGAAGGCAGCAGG